UCAGGCUUAGUUCAGUUGGUAGAGCGCCAGAUUUUGAAUCUGGAUGUCCCUCGUUCGAGCCGGGGAGCCUGAACCA
Molecule: transfer RNA, 76 nt
Filed under: Agrobacterium tumefaciens
Lineage: Bacteria; Pseudomonadati; Pseudomonadota; Alphaproteobacteria; Hyphomicrobiales; Rhizobiaceae
Also listed under: 1 other name
Description: tRNA-Gln
Rfam family: tRNA
About the family: Transfer RNA (tRNA) molecules are approximately 80 nucleotides in length. Their secondary structure includes four short double-helical elements and three loops (D, anti-codon, and T loops).
Source: RNAcentral